This 440-nucleotide long non-coding RNA is filed under the name Trifolium pratense (red clover). Its description in RNAcentral is "long non-coding RNA (TPRA_LNC007846)". Lineage: Eukaryota; Viridiplantae; Streptophyta; Magnoliopsida; Fabales; Fabaceae. The record is from RNAcentral.
ACAAAUCAAAUUAUCUCAUCUAAACUAUACAUAAAGUUUCAAACAUAAAAAAGUAUCAAUCAAAUUGUACUUGAAAGUUGAAACUAAACACUUCUAUUUACAAGCAUUGGGUGACAUUAAAAGGAGGUGCUAUUUCACCCUUUGAAAUCAAAGGAACUAUCAAAUCACUACAAUGCAAACUUGGUGAUGUAGUUUCAAGUUCUAAGGACAAAUUGUAAAACCCCAAUCGCGUCUCAGUUUUAUACUCAACAACUUGUUCAGGCUCGAGUUUAAUCACACUAUGCCCUUCAAACUUUACAGGCUCAAGCGAAAUGGUAUUCAUAUUGCCGAGGACAAAGGGAUCGACGGUCGCCCAACCAAAUUCUUGUUUUUUAUAGGAAGAAAUUGCGGUGGUCAUUUUAUAAAAUUCUUUGUGAUUGUUGUUGUUGGGGUUUCUUACC